Molecule: ribosomal RNA, 440 nt
Filed under: uncultured bacterium
Lineage: Bacteria
Description: bacterial SSU rRNA
Rfam family: Bacterial small subunit ribosomal RNA
Source: RNAcentral
GAUGAACGCUAGCUACAGGCUUAACACAUGCAAGUCGAGGGGCAGCAUGACCUAGCGAUAGGUUGAUGGCGACCGGCGCACGGGUGAGUAACACGUAUCCAACCUACCGGUUAUUCCGGGAUAGCCUUUCGAAAGAAAGAUUAAUACCGGAUAGUAUAACGAGAAGGCAUCUUCUUGUUAUUAAAGAAUUUCGAUAACCGAUGGGGAUGCGUUCCAUUAGUUUGUUGGCGGGGUAACGGCCCACCAAGACAUCGAUGGAUAGGGGUUCUGAGAGGAAGGUCCCCCACAUUGGAACUGAGACACGGUCCAAACUCCUACGGGAGGCAGCAGUGAGGAAUAUUGGUCAAUGGACGAGAGUCUGAACCAGCCAAGUAGCGUGAAGGAUGACUGCCCUAUGGGUUGUAAACUUCUUUUAUAUGGGAAUAAAGUGAGCCACGUGU